This 513-nucleotide ribosomal RNA is filed under the name uncultured bacterium. Its description in RNAcentral is "bacterial SSU rRNA". It matches the Rfam family "Bacterial small subunit ribosomal RNA", at positions 34 to 518 of the family's 1533-position model. The record is from RNAcentral.
CGCUGGCGGCGUGCCUAAUACAUGCAAGUCGAACGGUCUUUCUAUGGAAGCUUGCUUCCACUGAGAAGAUAGUGGCGAACGGGUGAGUAACACGUGGGUAACCCUGCCCAUAAGAGGGGGAGUAACAUCCGGAAACGGGUGCUAAUACCGCAUAGUUUUCUUGAUCGCAUGAUUGAGAAAGGAAAGACGGCCUUUGUGCUGUCGCUUAUGGAUGGACCCGCGGCGUAUUAGUUAGUUGGUGAGGUAACGGCUCACCAAGACGAUGAUACGUAGCCGACCUGAGAGGGUGAUCGGCCACAUUGGGACUGAGACACGGCCCAAACUCCUACGGGAGGCAGCAGUAGGGAAUCUUCCGCAAUGGACGAAAGUCUGACGGAGCAACGCCGCGUGAGUGAAAGAAGGUUUUCGGAUCGUAAAACUCUGUUGUCAGAGAAGAACAAGUUGGAGAGUAACUGCUCCAGCCUUGACGGUAUCUGACCAGAAAGCCACGGCUAACUACGUGCCAGCCGCCGC